UAAAUUAAAAAUUUUAAAUUAAGUCUAAUUUAAGUCUUAUGAACAAGCAAAUAUUCAUGAGACUGGUAUUAUAAUUCUCCAUUAAUUCUCUUGGUUUCCACUCUUUUUGACCAACACUGUAGAGAAUGAAUUCUUUGUUCACCUUGCCAAAAAGAAUGAGAAAGAAGAAACAAGGAGGGCCCCAUUUUGGAGACAGAAAGCAAGAUACAGUCUUGAUUGCCCAGUGUUGAUGAUACAGCCACAAAAAGAAUUGUCAGAAUUUACGAUCCUUAUAACAAUAUCUCCCUGGCAGAACAAAUACCCAGAGGUUAAAGAAGCUUUGAGUUCACCCUUAUACAUCAAAGAAAGAGAAGAAUAAUAUGAAAUAAGACUGUAAAAGCAGAGAUCCACUUAAAGGCAAAUGAAGAAAAAUGAAGGUCAGGAUUUAUAAGACCCAAGAUCCCUAGCUGAUGGCAUAAUGGAAGAGAAUUGUGAAAGAUGGAAUAUGGAUUUUAUAGCCAUCAAUCCAAGAGUUUCUCACUGUUGGAGAAAAAAAUAGUUGAUACAUUGCAAAAUACCUUUGGGAUUAAGAAUGGCAACAUUUAACACAUCUACUACUAAUAAAGAUUUAUUCAUUUUCUGCCUUCUAUAAUA
This 633-nucleotide long non-coding RNA is filed under the name Monodelphis domestica (gray short-tailed opossum). RNAcentral's name for it is "lncRNA (ENSMODG00000036047.2)". Lineage: Eukaryota; Metazoa; Chordata; Mammalia; Didelphimorphia; Didelphidae. The record is from RNAcentral.